RNAcentral lists this ribosomal RNA (253 nucleotides) under uncultured bacterium. Its description in RNAcentral is "partial 16S ribosomal RNA". It matches the Rfam family "Bacterial small subunit ribosomal RNA", at positions 524 to 776 of the family's 1533-position model. The record is from RNAcentral.
AACGUAGGUGGCAAGCGUUAUCCGGAAUUACUGGGCGUAAAGCGUGCGCAGGCGGCUUCUCAAGUCAGGGGUGAAAGCCCAGAGCUCAACUCUGGAAUUGCCUUUGAGACUGAGUGGCUUGAGUACGGGAGAGGUGAGUGGAAUUCCCAGUGUAGAGGUGAAAUUCGUAGAUAUUGGGAAGAACACCGGUGGCGAAGACGGCUCACUGGCCCGUAACUGACGCUCAUGCACGACAGCGUGGGGAUCAAACAGG